RNAcentral lists this ribosomal RNA (168 nucleotides) under Chlorella vulgaris. Its description in RNAcentral is "partial small subunit ribosomal RNA". It matches the Rfam family "Eukaryotic small subunit ribosomal RNA", at positions 807 to 974 of the family's 1831-position model. The record is from RNAcentral. Lineage: Eukaryota; Viridiplantae; Chlorophyta; Trebouxiophyceae; Chlorellales; Chlorellaceae.
GCAUGGAAUAACACGAUAGGACUCUGGCCUAUCCUGUUGGUCUGUAGGACCGGAGUAAUGAUUAAGAGGGACAGUCGGGGGCAUUCGUAUUUCAUUGUCAGAGGUGAAAUUCUUGGAUUUAUGAAAGACGAACUACUGCGAAAGCAUUUGCCAAGGAUGUUUUCAUUA